CCGGCCCUUUUCGCCGCCUCGCAAGCGGGCACUGGUUUCAGGAAAGGAUGUCCCAUGGCCGUAUAUGCAAGCGUACAUCAGUGCUUGCUAUCACGGCAUUAUCGCCAGUGGUGCUGUCGUGAUGCGGUCUUCGCAUGGACCGCGCAAUGAAGAUACGAUACUUCUGUAUCGUGCUUGUUGUAUCUGGUGCAUUGUGUCUUCACGGUGAUCGGAGUUACUCAGGUAAUUCUGCACGCGUGAUGUUCAGCGCCCAGAGCAAGUAAGCCAGGUAGCCGCCUUUCGGGGCGGCUUUCCUU
This 296-nucleotide small RNA is filed under the name Citrobacter freundii. RNAcentral describes it as "ryfA". It matches the Rfam family "ryfA RNA". From Rfam's summary of the family: This family consists of a number of bacterial RNA genes of 305 bases in length. The ryfA RNA gene is present in E. coli, Shigella flexneri and Salmonella species where it is found between the ydaN and dbpA genes. The record is from RNAcentral. Lineage: Bacteria; Pseudomonadati; Pseudomonadota; Gammaproteobacteria; Enterobacterales; Enterobacteriaceae.